Molecule: transfer RNA, 67 nt
Filed under: Ibalia leucospoides
Lineage: Eukaryota; Metazoa; Arthropoda; Insecta; Hymenoptera; Ibaliidae
Description: tRNA-Cys
Source: RNAcentral
UGUUAAAUAGUUUAUAAAAAAAACAUUAAAUUGCAAGUUUAAAAUUUUAAUUAAAUUAAUUUAACUU